RNAcentral lists this ribosomal RNA (261 nucleotides) under uncultured bacterium. Its description in RNAcentral is "partial 16S ribosomal RNA". It matches the Rfam family "Bacterial small subunit ribosomal RNA", at positions 524 to 776 of the family's 1533-position model. The record is from RNAcentral.
UACGGGAGGAGCGAGCAUUAUUCGGAAUGAUUAGGCGUAAAGGGUUUGUAGGUUGUUUUUUAAGUUGAAAAAAAAAGAAUAAAGCUCAACUUUAUAAAUUUUUUCAAAAACUGAAAAAUCUGGAGUAUAAAAUAGAGGAUAAUGGAAUUUCUAUUGGAGUGAUAAAAUACUGUGAUAAUAGAAGGAAGGUCAAAAGCGAAGGCAAUUAGUCUGGGAUAUAUACUAGACACUGAGAAACGAAAGCUUGGGUAGACAAACGGG